CCUACGGGUGGCAGCAGUGAGGAAUAUUGGUCAAUGGCCGGAAGGCUGAACCAGCCAAGCCGCGUGCAGGACGAAGGUGCCAAGCAUUGUAAACUUCUUUUGUCAAGGGACAAAAUCAGGCUCGAGAGCCUGACCGAGGGUACUUGAAGAAAAAGCAUCGGCUAACUCCGUGCCAGCAGCCGCGGUAAUACGGAGGAUGCGAGCGUUAUCCGGAUUUAUUGGGUUUAAGGGGUGCGUGGGCGGACUGUUAUGUCAGCGGUAAAAGCCCGGGGCUCAACCCCGGAGAGCCGUUGAAACUGGCUGUCUUGAGAGGUCGAGGGGUAGGCGGAAUG
Molecule: ribosomal RNA, 332 nt
Filed under: uncultured bacterium
Lineage: Bacteria
Description: partial 16S ribosomal RNA
Rfam family: Bacterial small subunit ribosomal RNA
Source: RNAcentral